AAAGUCGUAACAAGGUUUCCGUAGGUGAACCUGCGGAAGGAUCAUUAUUGAUUUUUUUAGGGAUGUGCUGGCGUCCCUACCCGGGUUGCAUGUGCACUCCUCACAAAAACCGAUAUUCCCACACCUGUGCAUCCUGAGUAGGCAAAAAAGGGACUUUUUGUGUUCCUCUUUGUCUAUGUUCUCUUUUAUUACAAACACUUGAUUUAUUUGAAUGAUCUAUUAUAAAAUACACAAUUGUAAUACAACUUUCAACAAUGGAUCUCUUGGUUCUC
RNAcentral lists this unclassified non-coding RNA (272 nucleotides) under Basidiomycota sp. Its description in RNAcentral is "partial contains small subunit ribosomal RNA, internal transcribed spacer 1, and 5.8S ribosomal RNA". The stretch from base 1 to 47 matches the Rfam family "Eukaryotic small subunit ribosomal RNA", at positions 1785 to 1831 of the family's 1831-position model. The record is from RNAcentral. Lineage: Eukaryota; Fungi; Basidiomycota.